CCUGAGAAACCCAAAAGAUCGAAUAGGGAGAUUCAUCGUCAGCUCAUUUUGUAUAUAUGCAAGUUGUGAUAUGGGUUACUACUUGUAGUAUUGCCUGUACAUUCUUGUAUAUUUAAUUGCAUAGUGUGGUCGGCGUGCACUUCUCCCUUAGUAGAACGUCGCGACCCGUUGAGAGUAAUUAUUAAUAUAUUAGUCUACGGCCCAAGUGAUAGCUUUUAAUAAAUAGUUUAUUCUAUUUAUUGAAAAUCCUUGGUGUCACCUGGCUAACACUUGGCGGUAUUCGUACGGUAUCAAGUCGCAUAUAUUUAUAUGCGUCCUAGCCAUCACAAGCGAGGUUAGUUUACUGAUAGUGCGGACCUAGUGCCGUCGUUGGUACUAAUCAGCUGUUAGUUGUAUGGAAUUCUAGGACUGGCUUCUAUAUAUACCGGUCAGCGAUG
RNAcentral lists this ribosomal RNA (437 nucleotides) under Cyclaulax sp. 1. RNAcentral describes it as "eukaryotic LSU rRNA". The record is from RNAcentral. Lineage: Eukaryota; Metazoa; Arthropoda; Insecta; Hymenoptera; Braconidae.